Molecule: transfer RNA, 63 nt
Filed under: Krisna expansiva
Lineage: Eukaryota; Metazoa; Arthropoda; Insecta; Hemiptera; Cicadellidae
Description: tRNA-Val
Source: RNAcentral
CAGAUUGUAGCUUAUAUAAAGUUUAUUUUUUACAUUAAUAUGAAAAUUUUAAAUUCUUUCUGA